GUAUUUUAACAAUGAUUUUCUGAUAGCAAUUAGAUGAUAAUGAUUAAUUAUGAGUUGCCGCUUUGAGUAAUAAAAAAAAUAUCCAUGAAACAUGUUAUGUUAAUCACAAAAAAUAUACUAUAAUUUGUUGUCUGGUCAAAUUUCGUAUAGCUCACUUAGAUAAAUAUUUGUGGCCCCAAAUACCUAACCCAAUACAAGAACUGAAUUAACCUCAAUUAAUUCAGCCCAUACAUUAAGUCAUCAGAGCCCAUCAACUCAAACCCUACAAGAAGAGAGGAUGAACGUCAAUCCCAUAAAUAUCGGAACGACUAGGGUUUAAGGAGACGUGCCAGCAAAACCCUAGUCGUCAGGCUACCAUAGGUCCACAGUAUAAAUAAACAUCGACUAGGUCAAUAGACUCAUCCAAUCAUUCGUACCUACUCCACUUACUUACGUUCUCUACUCUCUUUGCGCACUUGCUCGAUCUCUCCGCCCCCACGCUCUUACGUUAUGGAUUUGGGCUUGCUCUGACCAGUCAGACAGACCAGCCAGACAGACCAGUCCAACCGACGAGAUUUACUAUCUCACCUUUAUUCUACUGUUCAAUUAUCUUUACGCAUCAUAUUCAUUUUUCCUAUCAAUUACUUCGAAUUGUUUGACUGACUUGAGCGUCGGAGGCCCUUCCAUCGACACCCCCACCGGUGCUCCUAGAAGGGCUCUAAUGUGUUUGUGGUUUCAGGUUGCUAGUGUCCGACGACCCGGACGUACCUGACGUCCUAUUUCGUGAUUGUGGAUCCAUCCCCAACAUUGCCCAAGUCUAAUGUUUGAAGGGGCCUUUUGUGCAUGAAAAGGGCAUUUUCAUUUAAAAACAUGAAUAGAAAAAAAAUAAAUUCUCCUUACUUUGGAUGUGCAAGGGAUGCGAAUAUAUAUUCAAUAAUUGAGAUAAUAAAUAAUAAUCAAUUGGGCAUCUAGCUCAGCUAGUAAACCCAAUGCUUAUAAAACACAAGGUUGUAAGAUCGAAAUACACAAACCUUGUAUACUUCUCA
Molecule: long non-coding RNA, 1025 nt
Organism: Salvia miltiorrhiza (redroot sage)
Lineage: Eukaryota; Viridiplantae; Streptophyta; Magnoliopsida; Lamiales; Lamiaceae
Exons: 2
Source: RefSeq, a predicted model, not a curated record